RNAcentral lists this unclassified non-coding RNA (240 nucleotides) under soil metagenome. RNAcentral's name for it is "partial contains 5.8S ribosomal RNA, internal transcribed spacer 2, and large subunit ribosomal RNA". The record is from RNAcentral.
AACAUCGCGCACCUGCGGGAACCUGCGGAAGGAUCAUUACAGAGUUGCAAAACUCCCUAAACCAUUGUGAACGUUACCUAAACCGUUGCUUCGGCGGGCGGCCUGGGUCCUUCCCGGCGCCCCUCGGCCCUCGCGGGCGCCCGCCGGAGGUAAACCAAACUAUUGCAUUGUAUGGCCUCUCUGAGUCUUCUGUACUGAAUAAGUCAAAACUUUUAACAACGGAUCUCAGAUCGGAAGAGC